RNAcentral lists this ribosomal RNA (301 nucleotides) under uncultured bacterium. RNAcentral's name for it is "partial 16S ribosomal RNA". It matches the Rfam family "Bacterial small subunit ribosomal RNA", at positions 509 to 807 of the family's 1533-position model. The record is from RNAcentral.
CAGUAGCCGCGGUAAUACGAGGGGGGCAAGCGUUGUUCGGAAUUAUUGGGCGUAAAGGGUGCGUAGGCGGUUUGGCAAGUCUUGUGUGAAAUCUUCGGGCUCAACCCGAAGCCUGCACGAGAAGCUGCCGGGCUUGAGUAUUGGAGAGGUGAGUGGAAUUUCCGGUGUAGCAGUGAAAUGCGUAGAGAUCGGAAGGAACAUCUGUGGCGAAGGCGACUAUCUGGGCCAACACUGACACUGAGGCACGAAAGCGUGGGGAGCAAACAGGAUUAGAUACCCCCGUAGUCCCUGUCUCUUAUAC